AAGAGAGGCUGGGAUUCGAGGCGCCGACGCUGGUUCAAGCUCAGGCGAUUCCCGUCGUGCUUUCCGGCCGACAUGUGCUUGUGAAUGCUGCUACAGGCACUGGCAAAACAGUGGCUUAUCUAGCUCCAAUAAUUCAUAUGUUGCAGAGUUAUGAUGAAAGGAUUGAGCGUGCAGAUGGCACCUUUGCGUUGGUCCUUGUACCAACGCGGGAAUUAUGCAUGCAGGUGUAUGAGAUUUUGCAGAAGUUGCUACACCGUUUUCAUUGGAUUGUUCCUGGAUAUAUCAUGGGUGGGGAAAAUCGGGGAAAGGAGAAAGCUAGGUUA
Salvia hispanica is the source of this 323-nucleotide non-coding RNA. The record is from RefSeq and is a predicted model, not a curated record. Lineage: Eukaryota; Viridiplantae; Streptophyta; Magnoliopsida; Lamiales; Lamiaceae.